CCCUAUUAUAUUUAAAUCAAUAAAGGUAGUAUAAAUUUUAUAAACCUAUAUAAUUUGGCGGCAUUCAAUCUAAUUAGAGGAAUAUGUCUAAUAAUCGAAAAUACACGAUAAUUUUCACUAUUUAUUAAAUUUUAUAUACCGCCACUUAAAUAUAUAUAUUCAUAUAAAUAAUAAAUUAAAAUAACAUUAUAAUAAAAUAGGUAAAGGUGUAGACUAUUAAAUAGAUAUGAUGUAUUACAUUAAAUUCUAUUUAAGGAAAUUUACAUAAAAAAUAAAUAGAAAAAGGAUUUAAUAGUAAUAAUAAAUUAAAUAUUAAUAAAAUAUGAAUAAGAAAAUUAAUGUGCACA
RNAcentral lists this ribosomal RNA (347 nucleotides) under Dolichognatha pentagona. RNAcentral describes it as "partial 12S ribosomal RNA". Lineage: Eukaryota; Metazoa; Arthropoda; Arachnida; Araneae; Tetragnathidae. The record is from RNAcentral.